RNAcentral lists this ribosomal RNA (2586 nucleotides) under human oral metagenome. Its description in RNAcentral is "bacterial LSU rRNA". It matches the Rfam family "Bacterial large subunit ribosomal RNA", at positions 595 to 2925 of the family's 2925-position model. The record is from RNAcentral.
GAUGGACUGCCUUUUGCAUAAUGAGCCUGCGAGUUGUGGUGUCUGGCGAGGUUAAGGAAACCCGGAGCCGUAGCGAAAGCGAGUCUUAAUAGGGCGAUUAGUCAGAUGCUGCAGACCCGAAACGAUGUGAUCUAUCCAUGAGCAGGUUGAAGCCGGUGUAAGAGCCGGUGGAGGACCCAACCGACGGCCGUUGAAAAGGCUCCGGAUGACUUGUGGAUAGGGGUGAAAGGCCAAUCAAACAUCGUGAUAGCUGGUUCUCUCCGAAAUAUAUUGAGGUAUAGCGUCGUGUAGUAGUUAUAAGGGGUAGAGCACUGAAUGGGCUAGGGCAUACACCAAUGUACCAAACCCUAUCAAACUCCGAAUACUUAUAGCGUAACCACGGCAGUCAGGCGGCGAGUGAUAAAAUCCGUCGUCAAGAGGGAAACAACCCGGACUAACAGCUAAGGUCCCCAAAUCUCAUUUAAGUGGAAAACGAUGUGAAGUUACUGAAACAACCAGGAGGUUGGCUUAGAAGCAGCCAUCCUUUAAAGAUAGCGUAAUAGCUCACUGGUCUAGUGAUUUUGCGCGGAAAAUAUAACGGGGCUAAAAUGAGUACCGAAGCUUUAGAUAGUGUCUAUGAUUAUUUAUACUAAGCUUGUCUCUUUGGCAUCUUUAAAUGAGCUUCAUUUUUUCUCCUGCGGCAACCUACACGGUUAGCCUUAGUCGAAAAAAUAUCAGCAACAUUUAAAUCUGCUCAAAGAUACUUCGCUUCUUACAUUAAAAUUUAAAUGCAAUGUCUUGAUUUAAAUUUUAGAAAUUUCAAAAUUUCUUAGAAUUUUAAAAUUUAGUAACAAAAGCAAAAAGAUAAGCCUAAGUAAAGUAUAAAUACUCAUAGACACUGUGGUAGGAGAGCGUUCCAAUCAGCGUCGAAGCCGUACCGGUAAGGAGCGGUGGAGCGGUUGGAAGUGAGCAUGCAGGCAUGAGUAGCGAUAAAAUACGUGAGAAUCGUAUUCGCCGUAAACCCAAGGUUUCCUACGCGAUGCUCGUCAUCGUAGGGUUAGUCGGGUCCUAAGCAAAGUCCGAAAGGGGUAUGCGAUGGAAAAUCGGUUAAUAUUCCGAUACCGAUAUCAGUGUGCGACGGAAGGACGCUUAAAGUUAGUGGAGCUAGCGGAUGGAAGUGCUAGUCUAAGGAAGUAGGUUGAGUUAUAGGCAAAUCCGUAACUCUUUAUCCGAGAUCUGAAAGGCUUCUGACGCUCUUCGGAGUAGAUGAAGAAUCCAUGAUACUAUCGAGCCGAGAAAAGUUUCUAAGUUUAGCUGAUAUCGCCCGUACCGUAAACCGACACAGGUGGGUGGGAUGAGUAUUCUAAGGCGCGUGGAAGAACUCUCUUUAAGGAACUCUGCAAAAUAGCACCGUAUCUUCGGUAUAAGGUGUGCCUAGCUUCGUUAAGAAUUUACUUCGUAAGCGAAGAAGGUUACAACAAAGAGUCCCUCCCGACUGUUUACCAUAAACACAGCACUCUGCUAACUCGUAAGAGGAUGUAUAGGGUGUGACGCCUGCCCGGUGCUCGAAGGUUAAUUGAUGAUGUUAGCUUACGCAAAGCAUCUGAUCGAAGCCCGAGUAAACGGCGGCCGUAACUAUAACGGUCCUAAGGUAGCGAAAUUCCUUGUCGGUUAAAUACCGACCUGCAUGAAUGGCGUAACGAGAUGGGAGCUGUCUCAAAGAGGGAUCCAGUGAAAUUGUAGUGGAGGUGAAAAUUCCUCCUACCCGCGGCAAGACGGAGAGACCCCGUGGACCUUUACUAUAGCUUGACACUGCUACUUGGAUAAAGAUGCGCAGGAUAGGUGGGAGGCUUCGAUUCGUAGAUCUCGGUUUACGAUGAGCCAUUGUUGAGAUACCACUCUUCUUUAUUCGGGUAGCUAACUAGCCUAAGUUAUCCUUAGGUAGGACAAUGUCUGGUGGGUAGUUUGACUGGGGCGGUCGCCUCCCAAAAUGUAACGGAGGCUUACAAAGGUUGGCUCAAAGCGGUUGGAAAUCGCUUGCAGAGUAUAAAGGCAAAAGCCAGCUUAACUGCGAGACAUACACGUCGAGCAGAGACGAAAGUCGGUCUUAGUGAUCCGGUGGUUCUGUGUGGAAGGGCCAUCGCUCAAAGGAUAAAAGGUACCCCGGGGAUAACAGGCUGAUCUCCCCCAAGAGCUCACAUCGACGGGGAGGUUUGGCACCUCGAUGUCGGCUCAUCGCAUCCUGGGGCUGUAGUCGGUCCCAAGGGUUGGGCUGUUCGCCCAUUAAAGCGGUACGCGAGCUGGGUUCAGAACGUCGUGAGACAGUUCGGUCCCUAUCUGCCGUGGGCGUAAGAAGAUUGAGGAGAGUUGACCCUAGUACGAGAGGACCGGGUUGAACCGACCACUGGUGUACCGGUUGUUCUGCCAAGAGCACCGCCGGGUAGCUAAGUCGGGAUGCGAUAAGAGCUGAAAGCAUCUAAGCUCGAAGCCGACUCCAAGAUGAAUCUUCUUUUAAGAGCUCUAGUAGACUACUAGUUUGAUAGGCCGGAUGUGUAAUGGAUGAAAGUCCUUUAGCUGACCGGUACUAAUAGCUCGUUUGCUUAUCUU